RNAcentral lists this non-coding RNA (89 nucleotides) under unclassified sequences. RNAcentral's name for it is "freshwater-2 RNA". It matches the Rfam family "freshwater-2 RNA". From Rfam's summary of the family: Aquatic, esp. fresh water. The record is from RNAcentral.
GCCAACAAGUUUACAGUUGGACUUAUGCGGAUAAAAACCGCGUAGUGAGUAGAACUCACAUUUGGCUCCAUAUAAGGAGAAACAAAAUG